Molecule: ribosomal RNA, 466 nt
Filed under: bacterium XBD2004
Lineage: Bacteria
Description: bacterial SSU rRNA
Rfam family: Bacterial small subunit ribosomal RNA
Source: RNAcentral
GAUGAACGCUGGCGGCGUGCCUAACACAUGCAAGUCGAACGGAGAUUUAACGCUGAUGAGGCUUCGGCGGAUUCUUGUUAAAUCUUAGUGGCGGACGGGUGAGUAACGCGUGGGCAACCUGCCUCAUACUGGGGGAUAACAGUUGGAAACGGCUGUUAAUACCGCAUAAGCGCACAGCAUCGCAUGAUACAGUGUGAAAAACUCCGGUGGUAUGAGAUGGGCCCGCGUCAGAUUAGCCAGUUGGCAGGGUAACGGCCUACCAAAGCAACGAUCUGUAGCCGGCCUGAGAGGGCGGACGGCCACAUUGGGACUGAGACACGGCCCAAACUCCUACGGGAGGCAGCUAGUGGGGGAUAUUGCACAAUGGAGGAAACUCUGAUGCAGCGACGCCGCGUGAGUGAAGAAGUAUUUCGGUAUGUAAAGCUCUAUCAGCAGGGAAGAAAGGCUCGUAAGAGAGAUGACGUAC